RNAcentral lists this ribosomal RNA (460 nucleotides) under uncultured bacterium. RNAcentral describes it as "partial 16S ribosomal RNA". It matches the Rfam family "Bacterial small subunit ribosomal RNA", at positions 338 to 795 of the family's 1533-position model. The record is from RNAcentral.
CCUACGGGAGGCUGCAGUGAGGAAUAUUGGUCAAUGGACGAGAGUCUGAACCAGCCAAGUAGCGUGAAGGAUGACUGCCCUAUGGGUUGUAAACUUCUUUUAUAAAGGAAUAAAACGAGGCACGUGUGCCUUUUUGCAUGUACUUUAUCAAUACGGAUCGGCUAACUCCGCGCCAGCAGCCGCGGUAAUACGGAGGAUCCGAGCGUUAUCCGGAUUUAUUGGGUUUAAAGGGAGCGUAGAGGGGUUGUUAAGUCAGUUGUGAAAGUUGUCGGCUCAACCGUAAGAUUGCAAUUGAUACUGGCAGUCUUGAGUGCAGUUGAGGUAAGCGGAAUUCGUGGUGUAGCGGUGAAAUGCUUAGAUAUCACGAAGAACCCCGGUUGCGAAGGCAGCUUACUAAACUGUGACUGACGUUGAUGCUCGAAAGUGUGGGUAGCAAACAGGAUUAGAUACCCCUGUAGUC